Molecule: ribosomal RNA, 429 nt
Filed under: Gemmatimonadota bacterium
Lineage: Bacteria; Pseudomonadati; Gemmatimonadota
Description: Gemmatimonadetes bacterium partial 16S ribosomal RNA
Rfam family: Bacterial small subunit ribosomal RNA
Source: RNAcentral
UAGGGAAUCUUCGGCAAUGGACGAAAGUCUGACCGAGCAACGCCGCGUGAGUGAAGAAGGGUUUCGGAUCGUAAAACUCUGUUGUUAGAGAAGAACAAGGACGUUAGUAACUGAACGUCCCCUGACGGUAUCUAACCAGAAAGCCACGGCUAACUACGUGCCAGCAGCCGCGGUAAUACGUAGGUGGCAAGCGUUGUCCGGAUUUAUUGGGCGUAAAGCGAGCGCAGGCGGUUUCUUAAGUCUGAUGUGAAAGCCCCCGGCUCAACCGGGGAGGGUCAUUGGAAACUGGGAGACUUGAGUGCAGAAGAGGAGAGUGGAAUUCCAGGUGUAGCGGUGAAAUGCGUAGAUAUAGGGAGAAACACCGGUGGCGAAGGCGGCUCUCUGGUCUGUAACUGACGCUGAGGCUCGAAAGCGUGGGGAGCAAACAGG